AGUUAAGCUUCUUAGCGCCGAUGGUAGUGAAGGGUUUCCCUUUGUGAGAGUAGGACGCUGCCGCGC
Molecule: ribosomal RNA, 66 nt
Filed under: Carnobacterium iners
Lineage: Bacteria; Bacillati; Bacillota; Bacilli; Lactobacillales; Carnobacteriaceae
Source: RNAcentral